This 32093-nucleotide long non-coding RNA is filed under the name Populus tremula. Its description in RNAcentral is "long non-coding RNA (PTRE_LNC002062)". The record is from RNAcentral. Lineage: Eukaryota; Viridiplantae; Streptophyta; Magnoliopsida; Malpighiales; Salicaceae.
UUCACAGGCCAUGGUAUGUAAAUCUGACCGAUAACCUGUGAUAUAUUUGUGCAUGCCGUGAGAAGAGAAUAAAUAAAUACAUGCACACUGUACAGAGAAAUGCGUGUAAAGCUUAUGAUUAAUUGCAGUCGUAGAUGCCUGUAGAUGGAAUAAACGUGGGUUUGUAAUUUGAGAAUUCUUUGAUUUAAUGGAACAAGAAGCUGUAAAUAGUAUUUAAGAUGAUAUCAAAGAUCUGCACCGUCUAUGGAUGUAUUUGCUUGUAAGAAAACGCUGUCCUAUUUGCAACUACUUUUCAAGACAGUUCCUCUCCGGCAUCUAAUUAAACGACAUCCUUGCCAGCUCUAGCUCACCGCCUUCAACAUAUCCAUUAACCAUACUCGUCCAAGAGAACACAUCACUAACUCCCAUGCUAUAAAAAAUCCCUCAUGUAAAAGAAAGAUAGCAUAAGUUUAUUUUUUAAUAGUCAUAAAUUCGAGUUGUUUUAAGGUUAUUAGAGAUUUAUAUGAUUAUUAAUUUUAAAACUAAUAAGAUUAAUUGAGUUAUAUGUAAACUGAUCUGGCACUUCUGCUUAAACAUCCUUAUUAAUACAUAAAAAAUCCCUCUUGCAGAAUAGCAGCCACAUUUCACAUUCAUGGUGAUUUACAUUUCUAGUUUUACGUGUUCGUGAAAAUUCUUCCCUAAUCUCAAACCCAUUAGUCAUAGACAGAAAGUCCAUCUCUAGCAGCAAGUCCAUCUCUGAUUCUCUAGCAGGAAUAGCACAAGGACCUGAUUUCCCUCCUAAAACUCUCAAAAACUGCUCGCACGCUUUGAGCGCAAGAACAAAGCUCCUGUAUCAGAGUUCACUAUAUAAAUGGUAGAUAAAAACCUUUUGAAAUACUAUCAAUUAUUUACCGUGCCAGAGUAAAGUACCUCUAAUCAUGGUAUUCCAAAUAUAAGCACUGGGGUUUUGUAUCUGCGAAAACAGAAGACGAUCACGAUUUAUACCUGCAGUGUGAGAGAGGGCAAAAGGCCAAGGCAAGACAAAGCUUGGGGGUAGAUUAGCCAGACUAUAAAGGAGAAGGACUUAUUUGUACUUGUUCCAAGAUUGUGAGUCAAAAUAAUACCGCUUCUUUUCCUUCAAACGCAAUCUCGUCCUACGUUCCAGGGAAUCUUUUUACCUAAUCUUUUAAUAUAUAUUUGAAUGGCAUCUUGGCUUAAGUUCCUUCAAUUAUUGCUUUCGAAUAUUCUCAUGGUAUUGCUCUUUGUUUUUGAGGAUCCAAUUAAUAAGCAAAUCAUGGAGACUUGGCUGUUGACCUCAAUCUCGUCUGCUUGACUCCUUCAAUAUCUUGGAUGUGAACGGCUUGGAAUAUUGGGUGUUCUUGUUUUUGAUACAUGUAAAGAGGUAAGCUAAGCAUCUCUUUCAAGAAUCUCUCUAGCUGCUGCAGCGAUGCCAAAUCGCUUUCUUUCUUCAAGUUCCUUAGAAGGAGUAUUGUAUAGCAACCAACUUUCUUUGCGUUUUGCUCCAGGUCUGGGCCAAUUUUGAUGCCUUUUGUGAAUCCCUCCAUCUGGGCUUAUCAAAAGAGGAGGAGGAAAGAAGUAAGUUUCUCUUCUCAGUUAGUGCUAUUGAUUACUCUCACAUAUUGAUUACGUUCUGUGAAUUUUAAAGGACUGGACAUGUUUCAAUUCAGUACUGAGCUAGUUUCUUGAUGGUUGCUUGCCUGCUUGCUCCAAACUUCUUUACAAAACCAAUCAAACUUCACAUAAACUAGGAAGGAAAGGGGGAAGUUGGAAUCUUGAGUUCACAGGUUAAUGGUGGAGUCCAUGUUACAAUUGCUUUGCUUAAACAAAUCCGUUCCGGUUAGCGUUCUGUUUUUUCAAUUGAAAUAAAAUGAACAUAAUUUCAACUCACAUCUAUAUAUAACCACAAUUUUAAAAGUUGGGCUUUAGUCGGUAUGACCUAAUUAAUUGGAUGAAUUCAAUGACAACAUCAGCAACUAAUAAAAUAAUUUGACUAAAAAUAUUAUGUAGUUCAAUUCUCCAUAAGUUAAACUUAUUGUUAAAUAAAAAAAAUUUAAAAAAUCAAAUUAAAAAAAAAAAGACAAAGAAUGACCUUUAAAAACAAAAUUAUGAAAAUACAAUCUUCAAUUUUGCAAGAUCUUUCUAAACUUUUAACUUGAAAUAUUACAAUAUGUUUGGAGAUUCCCCGUAAAAUUUCAGUCUCAUUUAAUACUUAAAUUAAAAAAUAUAAUUGAUAUUAUAAAAGUAGACAAUAUUUAAAAAAAAAAUGAAAAAAAAAAUUAUUGCCCCUCUUUUAGUUUUACUCGGUCCCUCCAACCUAUUAUUAUUAUUAUUAUUGCCCCUCUUUUAGUUUUAAGAUAUCCCACGUUAUUUUAUCAGUCGAAAGUUUUAUAAAUACCAGAGUUUCCAGAAAUCUCCAAAAUGUCAUCAAAGUUUUAGGAACAUAAUUUUAUAGAUAUGUUAUUACGAUAGGAUUAUAUCUCAAUAUUGACACCAUAGGAUUUGAAUCCAUCGAUCUUAAUUUGUUUCAUAGCAUCACCAAUGAGUUAGUUCCCAUGAUUUCAAAAACUAUAUAUAUGGAUUCUCUAUGGUUUUAAAUCAAUGGAAAUCUUCAUUUUCAGACACUUGAAAAGCGCACAAAAUAGAAAAAAAUAAAAAUAAAAAACCUACAAAGUUGAAAAACCUGGAAAUGUAAAAAACUUGAGAAUUACAUGCACGUAAUACAUAUUCAAGAAACUAAGAACAGCAACAUAUUUAUUUAAUUCGACGGACGCAGAUAACAUUGAUUAUGAUCACUACAAACACUCAAACAUAAACACGUACAUAAAUUCAUUCUUCUAUAUAUAUCUGGAUAUGGCGGAGCAGCCACGCUCCAUGCAAAUAAUAGCUAGUUAGCUCUUGUCACAUCACCCCAAUCCUCCUUACCAAACAGCUUGAUACUCCUCUUAGCUUCAAUCCUGAACUGUGACCCCAGGUUCUGGUCAUCCUCACGAUGAAGAACAACCAUGUCACCAACUCUCAGUUCAUAAUAUUUAACAAAUUGACGCCAGCCCUUAGAAAGCACUGGCUUGUCAUAAUCUCCAUCUCUCUUCAGGCAACGAAUAACUCGAAGCUCACCACAGCUAUCUUUAACAUGCAAAUCAACAGAAUUAUUUCCAGCAAAAUCUAAAUGCUGCAAGCAAUGAGCUGGGAACGAGAACCGAAAACGAACAUCAGUAUCUGUCAACACUUUGCUGAAGAUCUGCAUUUUUUUCUCAAGGGUCGUAAAAAGAGAGAGAAAUGGUUAUGUUUAAGCUAUCUGCUGGAUUGAUAUGGUUUCUUGCAGGGAGCUAUCUGUUGAUUGAUAUGGUUUCUUGCAAGGGGCUUGUUGAUUUAUACUAAAAACUAGCUAGCUACUGUAUUCACGGUAGAAAGACAUCGAGCGAGAGAUUUCGGAAAUCUUGUUCAUUUGAUCGAUUUCGCAUGGCGUUAUUUAAAUCUUGGUGGAUUAUUUGUAGAUAGAACAAGAGAAACGCAGGCUUAUCAAAGACUAAAUGAGCCAGGAGGUACGCUCGUAUUGCCUCUCGUGCACCUCGUUCGUUCUAACUUGCGAAAACCAAACACUUGCUCAAGAUCUUGCAUGCUUGUCGAAGUGUUUAGUGAACUAGAGCAUUUGUGCAACUUGGACAAUGGUACAAGAAUAAAUAAGGUUUAUUUUUCAAUUAUAUUUUAUGAAAUGAAAAUUGUCCUCUUAUUAGACAUACAUGAAUAAUAAUAAAAUAUAUUUCUUAAAAAUUAUAUUUUAAAAGGUUUCAUUUAUAAUUUUAUCUAGGUUACCUAUUCAUUUUAAGUCUGGGUCAUGAACUUAAGUUUGCGUCAUGAACUUGGGAUAAUGUCAUCUCUUAAGAGAUGAGGCUUUCACUCUUUCAAUUAUCUAGCAUUAACAAAAAAAUAAAAUUAAUUACAUGUUUAUGGAGUUAUUAAUCAUGCUCAAUAAUUUUUACAGUGUGCAACUUAAAUAUGAAAAUGGAGAUUUAUAUAAUACAUUGUUAUCAGUUAAUUGUAUUUUGCCAUUACUAUUGGCUCUUGUGAUUUUAGAUAAAGCUGGUUCUUGAUCUUGCAGGCGUGUGCUCUAAGUCCGCCCAAAGUUUCAUCAAUAAGGUCCACAGAGAGGGAGAGCUACAUCCUGCAUUUUCUUGAGAUUUCUGCGAGGUUUUUGUUCGAAUAAGCAACAAGGUGCACGAUAUUGCUGGAGGGCAAGUCCUUCCAUGCGUGUCCAAAAUUCGAAGUCAUUUUCAAUUCAAGGUCAACAAUAUAUUUUUUAUAAUAUAAUAAUGCUAGAAUGACGCUCGAUCUCCUCAGCAAUCAGCAUGCAUCGAGUAAUCGCGUUUGGAUUUCGAGCUCCACUGAUUUGAAAUGCUCGGUGUCUGUGUUGUAUACAUGUAGCCCAAGGAAUAAAUUAAGAGGGUUUGGAGAAAUUUGCCACACGGGAUCAUGUCUGUACUAUCGACCGAGACGGUCAGCACUGUGGGCGUGCAAUGACGUUUCUACUCGGAGGAGGCUAUGUGAUUUCUUUUUGACAGCACUGUACUUAAGCAUUGCCCUUUACUAUUACAAUUUUAUGUGCUGCAGCAAAUCGCUUUCUUUCUUCUAGUUCUUCCUUAGCAGGAGUUUUGUAUAGCAACCAACUUUCUUCUUCGCGCUUUUCAAAGCCGCAAUAAUAGACUUAAAUGCGCAUGUCAUUUGAAACGUUGCCUCAUCGGCAUGUCAUUAGAAAUGUUCUUCUCGCGGUUCUUCGCCUCUCUCUCUGUUUUUUUUUUCUUUUUUUUAAGUACUAUUUUAAUUUUGUUUACCAACAAAAGUUAAUUGCCGGUUGAUUAAAACAAUAUAGUGAUAUGCACCCCGGGAAGCGAGCAAGCUGAACAAGCUGCAAGCAGCGACCUCAUUUUUUCAUGUUACACUAUUAGACAAAUCUAGAGUGUUUUUAAGAAUUUAUUAUUUAAAGAUAUGAUUUUUUUAUUUUUUUGAAAAAUUCUUUAAAAGUUAGGUUGUCGCAAACCACAAGUCAUUCAACUGUCCACAGCAAUCCACACGAACUACCGAUAAAACAUCUCUUAAAUUUCUAUUUCGGAGAGAGGAAUUUCUAUGCCUAGAGUACUAGCCUUUUAUUCUGUGACUUGCAUAGUUUUUUUAUCCAACAUACAACAAUAAAAUUAAGAAGCAUAGCUUACUAUUUAUAGAAAAAAUCUAAAAAACCUUAUAAAUUGGAAGACAUUUCAAUUUGCCCCUUGCUUAAUCGAGUCCUUCCUUGAUUUUUCUAGGUCUAGAAAUAUAAUAUUUGUAUUCUAGUCCUUAAUUUCUAAAAUAUAUUUUAAUCAAGUCAUACCUAAUUAAAUUAUCUCAAUUUAAUUUCUAACUAGUGGUUCUUAAUGUCUGUGACCCAUUAGGUUCCUAAUAUAUUGGCCCAAAUAUAAAUUAUAAUUCUAAUUAAAUAUAAUUAAAUAAAUCAAACAAUUUAAUUUAUUAUCAAUUCAACAAUUGAUUAAUUUAUAUUUAAAGAUCAGGUGCAUCGUCUAAUAACGUGUCAUGAUCCCCUAAAUAUUAGAGAAGUCAUUGGUGGUUUGACUUAACCUUUGAGUGACUAGUUUUUUAGUGUAAUUAAUAUCAUUUCAUCAAUAAUGUUCCGAUUAAUUAGUUGCGAGUGAAGUUGAGAAGAGAAAAAAGAAAAAUCUUACCUUAAUAUAGUUGCGAGUGAAGCUGAGAAGAGAAAAAAAUAAAUUCAUAAAGUAUAUUAAUUAAAAAAUAUAUGAGAAGAGAAAAGAAAAAAAAAAGAGAAAAAGACAUACUUGAGAAUGGAGAAGAAGAGGAGUUGAAGAGAAAAGAUAAGAGAAAGAAAGAAGAGGAUGUUGUUGUUUUUUACAUAAGGGGAAGAAGAAGAAGAAGGAGAAGAAAAAGAAGAAGCAGAAUAUGCUCGUCUGUUGUGAAAUGAGGGAUUCUAUUUAUUAGGGUAUUUUACUAAUGGUUUUACCGACGGAUAUUAAUAUUUCUAACUUUCAUUGAUGAUUUCGUCUAUAAUAUUUAAUUUAAAUUUUCAAUUUAAUUAAAAAAAUUCAGAAACCACCAAAUAUCACCAACGACUUUUCAAUCCGUUGGUGAUUCUAUUUGUAUUAUUUAAAUUAAAUUUUAAAUUUACUCAAAAAUUUUCAAAAACCUGCAAAAUAACACCAAUGACUUUUCAAUUCGUCUAUGAUUUUGUCUAUAAAGAGCAAUAAUUAACUGUGCAAUUGGAAAGUGAACAGUUCCAGUGCUCUUUGAAAAAUACCGACGAAAUGUUCUGUCGGUGAUUCCCUUUGUAAUUGACAUGAUAAACAAUGUUAGGCAAAAGUGAACACUUUACUGAUGAUUUUACCAAAGGAUUUUACCGACGGAAUUAAUUACGUCGGUAAUUCUUUUGGUAUAAAUGACAUAUCAUCGUUUUUUUUUUUUGCUUUGUUUUAAUUCUUUUUUCCCCACCGUAAUUCCUUUGGUAGAUACUGAGAGAAUAUUUUUGUCGGUAAAAUUGACUGUAAUUUUUUGACAGAAAUAUUCUGUCAGUAUUUCUGUUUGUCUUUAUCAAUUUUCUGAUAGUGCUCCACCAUAAUUAAUGUGUAAAACAAUAUUGUAUAUAUCACUUGCUGAAAAUCUAGCAAGUGAUAUUUUUCAUCAUUUUAAGGACCUAAAAAUCCAUACUCAUUUGCGUCAAGAGAUAUGAGAGUCGCUACCUAGUUGUUUGGUUUAGAAUCACUAGGAAAUCCGGGUAUACUGGUCCUAUCAAAAAUUCUAAGGGUAAGGAACUGGUUGUGGCUAGGAAAUGUAUUAACACCCCUAGCAAAAAGAGGAGGGUAAAAGGGUAUUUUAAAUUAAAAUAAACCACGUGGUCAUAACACAAAAGGGGAGGGGUAAAGGGGUAAAAUACCCUAAAACCAUCUCUAUCUCCCACUUUUCUUCUAAGUGUCGCCGACAAGGCACCUUGCCCUUGCUACCAGUGUGCUUUCCAGCGAUAGCCAAGGCUAUCGUUGCACCAAGCAACAGAAACCAAGGUCAUUGUUGCCUACAUCCACACGAGGCCCAACACUGCGAGCAACAUCUAGCACGCCUGGUGCUGCCACCCAUGACAACGUGAGACAUUGCUACACAUACUUGUUUUGUAAAAAAAUCUGAUUUUAAAAAAUCAUGAGAAAAUUUGACUUUUUCGAAGAAAAAAAAUCUUUAUUUCGCACAUAAAAUUAAUUUCUAAUUAACACUAAUAAAAAUUAAAAUGUGCAAUCAAACAAUCCUAAUUCACCUAACGAAGGCGCUAAUCCCACUAUUGGGUUUCCAUAAUGGCAUACACACAGUAGAAAGAAUAAAAAAAUUAUUUGAAGUCCAUAGGAUCCCGUUAGACAAAUCUAGAGUUGUUUAGGGAUUUAUUACCUGAAGAUCUGAACUUCUUCGGCUUUGAAUAAUUCUUUAAAGGCUGAGUUGUUGCAAACCACAAGUCAUCCAAUUGUUCAGCUUCCAACGGUAAUCUACACGAACCACUAGUGAAAAAUAUUCUAAAUCUCUAUUUAAGAGAGAGGAAUUUCUAUGCCUAUAGUACUAGCUAUUUAUUCUAUGACUAGUAUAGUUUUUUUUUUUUUUGUCUAAGACAGAUAAUAACAAAAUUAAGAGGCAUAGCUUACUAUUUAUAGAAAAUUCCAAAAAUCCCUAUAAAUUGGAAAACAUUUCAAUUUAUCCCUUGAAUAAUAUCCACAUAUUAUUGUUCUCUCUAUGGACCUGUCUCUUUUAUGUAUUGGGGGAAUGCUCGUUUUUGCUGCCUAUCUAAACUUUUUUAAAAAUUUUAUUUUUUAUUUUAAAUUAAUUUUUUAUGUUUAAAAAAAAAACUUUAUGUGUGAAUAUUAAAAUUAGAUUUUUAAAAAAAUAAAAUAAAAAUUAUUUUAAUAUAUUUUCAAAUAAAAAACAUUUUAAAAAAUAAUUUUUACCAUAAUAUCAAACACAACCUAAAUUUUAAAAGAAAAAUAAAAGGAUUUAUAUAAGGAAUGUGUAAUAGCAAGAUUUCAAACACUAAUCAACAAUAAACUCAACCAUGUAUAUUUACUAUACAAAAUGUAAAACUACUCACAAAUUACUAUUAUUAGCUACAUUAUCUGCUUUCACAAAUUAUUAUUAUUAAAACAAGGCAUGUCUUGAGCCUCAACUCAUGCGAUUCAAAAGUCUAAAAUCAUAUACACAUCCAAGACUAUAACUUUUAUGAAAGAUGUGAGGUCAGAUAAAUUUGUUUUGAAGGUAAAACCCCAAACACAAAUUGAAAGACGAGAUUAGUCUUCUAAUUUGAUGAGAAAACUUGUAGGAGGGAGUUGUAUCUUGAGAAGGAAUUUAAGAGUAUCGGAAGGAUUGUUUUCUACAUCCUUUAAACUUCAUAUCUUUAUCCUUGAUUUUAUCAUGAAAUCUUAGUCCUGAGAUACAAAAACAGGGAAAGACCAACUAGACAGUUGGGUUCUAUUUUGCUCCUGGGAUUUGGAGAGAGAUUAUCUUAAGUGCUGGAAUUUUCAGAGAUCAUGAGCAACUAAUUUCUAAUUUCGAUUUAAGGAGAAUAUACUCCAUUUCUAUUAGAAAGUUGUGAGAAGUAAUGUUGUUAUUGUAAUUCUUUUAAAUUCAAAUAGUUAAUUUUCCUAGUUUAGCUUUAAUGUACUUAUUUAGCCCAUGAGAGAAGCAUAAGCAGCGAUCAUGGAAUUUCGAGAAACAAAGAUUUUCCCUUUUCAUGUCAUUUGAAACGUUUUUAGCUUCAUGUUUAUAUAUACACACACAUACUAAUUAGCUAUUAAAAAAAUGACAAACUAACUAAAAGAAAAACUUACAUUAAAAAAAAAACAAAGAAACAACAAAAAAUACUAAUAUUGAGCAUUAAACUACCUCAAUGUAUAAUUUGAAUAUCUAGCUAGAUUAAUAUCUAUAUAAAUAAAAUUUUGAAAUUUAGCACGAAACCAUUAAACUAUACGAUGAAAAAUUAAAUCAUAAAUUUUAUUUCAACCAAGAUCAACAGCACCGUAUAUAGAUGACCAACAAAUGAUUUCAUUCCAGCAAGGAAAGCUGAAUAGUCUUCAGCAUACUCAAUCCAUUGCAUAAUCAUAACUAAUAAUUCUUCUAUAGGCAAGAAAUUUUCUGGAACUCAGACUACCCUGUAACAACAACCACAAAAACAUCUCAAUUUUUUAGAAGAAAUAUACUUGCUACAGUUAAGUAUCAAAAUUCUCAGAUCCUGCAUGCUGAUUUAACAGUAAAAAUCUCAAUGGAUUCACUGACCAAAUUCCAAGCAAUCCAAUUGACCACAAGCAGAGAGCACACGAACUGAUGUUACAAACGCAGCCUCCAGCAUGUUACAAACCAUUCUAAAGCUUCCUCCAGCAAUUUUGAUAAACGACAUCCUUGCCAGCUCUAGCUCACCGCUUUUAGCAUACCCAUUAACCAUACUCGUCCAAGAGAGCACAUCUCUAACUCCCAUGGUAUCAAAGAUCCCUCUUGCAGAAUCCAAGCAGCCACAUUUCACAUGCAUUGUGAUUUACAUUUCUAGUUUUACAUAUUCGUGAAAACUCUUCCCUUUUCUCAAACCCCCCUUCUGCGAGCAAGCUGAACGAGUGGCUAUCGUAGUGACCUCUUCUGGCUCCACAUUGCCCUCCACUGACAUCGACUCAAAAAGCUUCCCAACAGUUACGCUUAGAACACCCAUCAGUCAUAGACAGAAAUUCCAUCUCUAACAGGAAUUCCUUCAAACAAGUGUCAAGCAAAACCCAAACAACCACGCAGGUCAUAAAAACGAGCCAACCCAUCUUGAAACAACAUAGCAUGAUUUAUACCUGCAGUGUGAGAGAGGGCAAAAGGCCAAGGCAAGACAAAGCUUGGGGGUAGAUUAGCCAGACUAUAAAGGAGAAGGACUUAUUUGUACUUGUUCCAAGAUUGUGAGUCAAAAUAAUACCGCUUCUUUUCCUUCAAACGCAAUCUCGUCCUACGUUCCAGGGAAUCUUUUUACCUAAUCUCUUAAUAUAUAUUUGAAUGGCAUCUUGGCUUAAGCUCCUUCAAUUAUUGCUUUCGAAUAUUCUCAUGGUAUUGCUCUUUGUUUUUGAGGAUCCAAUUAAUAAGCAAAUCAUGGAGACUUGGCUGUUGACCUCAACACUCUCGUCUGCUUUGACUCCUUCAAUAUCUUGGAUGUGAACCAGGCUUGGAAUAUUGGGUGUUCUUGUUUUUGAUACAUGUAAAGAGGUAAGCUAAGCAUCUCUUUCAAGAUCUCUCUAGCUGCUGCAGCGAUGCCAAAUCGCUUUCUUUCUUCAAGUUCCUUAGCAGGAGUAUUGUAUAGCAACCAACUUUCUUUGCGUUUUGCUCCAGGUCUGGGCCAAUUUUGAUGCCUUUUGUGAAUCCCUCCAUCUGGGCUUAUCAAAAGAGGAGGAGGAAAGAAGUAAGUUUCUCUUCUCAGUUUUGUAUGAUAUGGUUUCUGUGCUUCAUUAUUGAAUUACUCUCUGUGAAUUUUAAAGGACUGGACAUGUUUCAAUUCAGUACUGAGCUAGUUUCUUGAUGGUUGCUUGCCUGCUUACUUCAGACUUCUUUACAAAAGAAAAGAAAAGAAAGAAAAACUGUCCUCUUGAGACAUCACAAAACCAAUAAAACUUCACAUAAACUAGGAAGGAAAGGGGAAGUUGGAAUCUUGAGUUCACAGGCUAAUGGUGGAGUCCACGUUACAAUUGCUUUGCUUAAACAAAUCUUAGCGUUCUGUUUUUUCAAUUGAAAUAAAAUGAAUAUAAUUUCAACUCAAAUCUAUAUAUAACCACAAUUUUAAAAGUUGAGUUUUAAUCGGUAGAACCUAAUUAAUUGGAUGAACAACUAAUAAAAUUAUAAUUUGAUUAAAAAUAUUAAGCAGUUAAAUUUUCAAUAAAUUUUUUAUUAAAUAAAAAUAUAAAAAAAAUCAAAUCUAAAAAAAAAAAAACAAAAGGAUGACCUUUCAAAACAAAGUUCUAAAAAUACAAUCAUCAAUUUUGCAAGGUCUUUCUAAAUUUUUAACCUGAGAUUUCAUAAUAUGUUAAGACACUUCUCAUAAAAUUUCAGUCUGAUCUAAUAAUUAAAUUGAAAAAUAUAAUUACUAUUUUAAAAAUAAAUAAUAUUUAAAAAAAUAAGAAAAAAAAAUAUUGCCUCUCUUUUUGUUUUACACGGUCCCUCCAACCUAUUAUUAUUAUUAUUUCCCCUCUUUUAAUUUUAAGAUAUCCCAUUUUAUUUUAUCAGUCGAAAGUUUUAUAAAUACCAGAGUUUCCAGAAAUCUCCAAAAUGUCGUCAAAGUUUUAGGAACAUAAUUUUAUAGAUGAUAUGUUAUUGCGAUAGGAUUUGAAUCCAUCCAUCUUUGUUUCUUAGCAUCACCAAUGAGUUAGUUCCCAUGAUUUCAAAAACUAUAUGUAUGGAUUCUCUAUGGUUUUAAAUCAAUGGAAAUCUUCAUUUUCAGACACUUGAAAAGCGCACAAAAUAGAAAAAAAUAAAAAUAAAAAACCAACAAAAUUGAAAAACCUGGAAAUCAAGCCAGAGCAAGGGAUAGAUAUGAAAUGUUAAAAACUUGAGAAUUACAUGCACCCUGUUUACAGAUAAGGAUGGAAAGACUAAGACUGAUGCUAAGAACAUCGAUUAUCACUACAAACAGUACUCAAACAUAAACAGAUUGACGCUCCAUGCAAAUAAUAGCUAGUUAGCUCUUGUCACUUCAACCCAAACCUCCUCACCAAACAGCUUCAAACUACUCCUCCUCUUAGCUUCAAUCCUGAACUGUGACCCCAGGUUCUGGUCAUCCUCACGAUGAAGAACAACCAUGUCACCAACUCGCAGUCCAUAAUCAGCAACAAAAUCACGCCAGCCCAUAGAAAGCACUGGCUUUUCAUAAACUCCAUUUCUCUUCAGGCAACGAAUAACUCGAAGCUCACCAUAGCAAUCUUUAACAUUCAAAUCAACAUAAUUAUUUCCAGCAAAAUCUAAAUGCUCUAAGCAAUGAGUUGGGAACGAGAACCGCACACGAACAUCAGUAUCUUUCAACACUUUGCUGAGGAUCUGCAUUUUUUUCUCUAAGGGUCGUAAAAAGAGAGAGAACUGGUUAUGUUUAAGCUAUCUGCUGGAUUGAUAUUGUUGCUUGCACCGAGCUUGUUAAUUUAUAACUAGCUAACUACUGUAUUCACGGUAGAAAGACAUCGAGCGAGAGAUUUCGGAAAUCUUGUUCAUUUGAUCGAUUUCGCAUGGCGUUAUUUAAAUCUUGAGGGAUUAUUUGUAGAUAGAACAAGAGAAACGCAGGCUUAUCAAAGACUAAAUGAGCCAGGAGGUACGCUCGUAUUGCCUCUCGUGCACCUCGUUCGUUCUAACUUGCGAAAACCAAACACUUGCUCAAGAUCUUGCAUGCUUGUCGAAGUGUUUAGUGAACAAGAGCAUUUUGGGCAACUUGGACACUGGCCAAGGACCCAUUUAAUAAAAAACUACAAGAAUAAAUAAGGUUUGUUCUUCAAUUAUAUUUUAUGAAAUGAAAAUUUUGUCCUCUUAUUAGACAUACAUGAAUAAUAAUAAAAUAUAUUUCUUAAAAAUUAUAUUUUAAAAGGUUUCAUUUAUAAUUUUAUCUAGGUUCCCUAUUUAUUAAUACAUUGCAUAAGAUUUGUUAUCAGUUAAUUGUAUCUUGCCAUUAUUAUUGGCUCUUGUGAUUUUAGAUAAAGCUGGUUCUUGAUCUUGCAGGCAUGUGCUCUAAGUCCGCCCAAAGUUUCACCAAAUCCUGCGUUUUCUUGAGAUUUCUGCGAGGUUUUUGUUCGAAUAGGCAACAAGGCGCACGAUAUUGUUGAAGGGCAAAUCCUUCCAUACGUGUCCAAAAUUCGAAGUCAUUUUCAAUUCAAGGUCCACGAUAUACUUUUUAUAAUAUAAUAAUGCUAGAAUUACGCUCGAACUCCUCAGCAUGCAUCGAGUAAUCGCGUUUGGAUUUCGAGUUCGACUGAUUUGAAAUGCUCGAUGUCUGUGUUGUGUGCAUUAGGGGUGAGCAAAAAAACCGAAAAACCGAUUAAACCGAGAAAAUCGAAAAAAAAAUAACCGAAAAAACCGAACCGUAAAAAAAAACCGAUCAAACCGAUUAGAAAAAUUAAAAAACAAGCCGGUUCGGUUCGGUUUCGGUUUUAAAAAGCUGAAACCGAAUAAACCGAACCGAACCGAACCGGUUCAAGUAAAAAAAUUAAUACUACUAUAAAUACCUACUUUUCAGCUUUCCCCUUCUUUUUUCUAAACCCUAGCCGCCACCCAUCUUUCACAAUCUUUACCUCUCAACUCAGCCCCCACCCCCAUCUUCACUUUCAACCUUUAUCGUCCAUAUUUUUCAAUCUUCAUCUCUCAGCACAGCUCCCCUCCCAUCUUCAUCUCUCAUCCCUCAACCUUCCCCAUCACAGCCCCUAUCUUUAUCUCUUAUCUCUCAAUUUUUCUCACAAUCCUCCAUCAACAUCUUCAUUUCUCAUCUCUCUCAAACUUUCUUUAAAGCUUUAAGCACAACUCCCCUCCUUCCUCAAAGUAGAUCCGGUGAACGAACCAUCAUUAUGUCUCAUCUCUCAAUCUUUUUGUUCUUUUCUUUAAACAUAGUCGACUAAGCUCAUGGAUUAACAACCAAACAGCAGCUUUGGAGCCCCCCUCUCUCCAAUCUUUAUCUUUUAAUUUUUGUCCUUGUUUAGUUUUUUUUUUUCCUGAUUUUUGUAGAUUUAUUAUGUAUUCAUUUUCUAUAUUUAUUUACAAGAAUGUUGAUCUGUCAUUCAUGUUCCGAUUACCGUAAUGGAUGUUGUGAUAAUUAUUUUUUUCAAAUUUUCGUUUGAAUCUUGUUCUUUUUGGCUUCCUGAUUCAGAAAACUUGCUUGAUAUGCGUGGUCAAGAUGAAAUCGGUUUAUUCCGGUUUUUCCUUUUAAUUAACCGAACCGAACCGAACCGAAACUGGUCGGUUUGAACCGGUUUCGGUUCGGUUUCGGUUUUGAUUUAAAAAUGAAUAAAUAAAUCGGUUUGGUUAGUUUUUUAGGUGAAAACCGGACCGAACCGGAAAUGCUCACCCCUAGUGUGCAUGUAACCCAAAGAAUAAAUAGUGUUUGUGUCAUCGACCGAGACGGUGAGCACUGUGGGCGUGCAAUGACGUUUCUGCUCGGAGGAGGCUAUGUGAUUUCUUUUUGACAGGCAGCGGUUUCUUUUCUUUAUUCUUUAUUAUUUUUUCCCAAAGGGUUCCUAUUAAGAUAGAAAGGAUACAUGGUUCAGACAAAAAAAAAAAAACAUAUUUAUCUUGUAAUCCUAUUUAUUUUUAUAUUUUAUAUUUAUCUCUCUAACCCGAAACAUGUUUGUUCUUUUUAUAUUUAUAUUUAUAUUUGUACUUUCUAUUUUAAAACAAUAAUCAGUGCAUUAAUUAGACAGACAAUUACUAUCUAAUCACAAUUAUUUUCACAAUUUACACGGCUGAAUCUUGAAACACACAUGGUGCGGCUAAUCAAGCCAAAUUUGAUAGCAUUGAAGGGGUUUUGGUGACUUUUAUUUUUCACAAGAAGAAUGAAGUGCAACAUGGUGUUAUGUUGGCUUUAUCUUGCAGCUGCAAAAUGGGAUAAAAUGGCUGUCAUUUGUCAUUUUAUGGAGUUGAAUUAAACAUAUUUGUUUUUACGUUAUAAUUUUUUUUAAUUUUGUUUUUUUAAUUUUUUUUAUCAAUAUCCUCUCUCUCAUUUCUUUUUUUAAUUGUUCGCAUUUAAAUUUUUUUAUAACUAGUAACUAAUCUUUUUUAUUGUCUCUAUAAUUUUAUAAUAUCUUAAAUAGAUUAUUAUAAUUUAUCUUUAAAUUUUACAUCGAUCUAUUGUGUUUGUAUAUAUGAUAUAUUUAUAAAAAUAAAAAUCACAUGUAUUUAAUGAACCUAAUUUCACCUCCAAGAUUGAUAAAAAAUAUAUAUUUAAAAUGAAAAGAACAAUAAAGAUAAAAUAUUUACAUGUAUAUCUAUCAUUUCCUUUUUUACUAGGAUAUAUAAUUUAUUUUGUUCUCUUCUUGGAGACCCUUCUUCUGCAUACUCAACUCACUUUAUUUCUUCAAGCUAGUGAUAUUAGAAAAAUAAAAAAAUACUAUUAAUAUUAGAAAAAACCUAUAUAUAAUUUUUUUAUAUUUUGAUAAUAUAAUACCCACUUAAGAAUAUAUUAAGAAAAUUAAUGUGAAAACAGGAAAAGAAAGAAAGCAUCACGGUAGCAAUAGUGCCAUAAACGUGUUUGUCGGAGAAAAGAAGAAAGAGCUUGGAGAGGUGGAAGAUAAUUCACAUCAAUGGUGAUGUGAAUGUUUGUACCUGAAAUAUUCUCACGGUUGAUUGAGACUUGUUGUUGCUAAUGAUUAAUCGAUUUUAAUUUAAGACAAGACUGCAAGAUCAUCGUGUACAUCGAAACAUGGAGAGAUAAUAACCUAAGGCUGGUUGGUUUGUUUUUGCGUUUUAAACGUUUAUAUUUAUCAUGUAAAUAUUAUCUGUGAGCUUGUUGAAGCUCAGGGGCCUGAUUUUGUGCCUCGAAAGAAGUAGAAAACAUUACAAAAAAAAAAACCAUACUUAUCAGUGCAUUAAUUAGUUUUACAAUUUACACGGCUGAAUCUUGAAACACCAGCCCAGUUAUUGGCCAUUUUAAGCUUCAAACGCAACGGCUGAAACCUUCGAACUUACUCUUGACUUCCAUCUGGAAGUGCUUCAUCGUUAAAUUCAUUGUUUUACUUUUAUAUAUAUAUAUAUAUAUAUAUAUAUAUAUUGAGUUAUCUCGAUAUUAUAUUUCGGAUAAUAAGUUAGUCAAAUUAACCAUGAUUGUCACUCUCUUUUUUUUUUCCUUUGAUUUGUUUUAUAAAAUUAAAAUGUUUUAAACAAUUUCAUACUUCGGUGUUAAAUUAUUGAUCCUUGAACUAAGUGAUUUUUUCACUUUUUUAUUUUAUUUUGAGUUAUCCCCAGUAUAGGUUAAUCAAAUUAACCCGGGUUAACUUGCAUUUUCUUACUCGAUGUCUUUUUAUUUAACUUCGGUUUUUUUUGUUGGGUCCUUCUUUUGGAAAUCUAACUUUUUUUAUCCUGAUUUCAUGCCGCUAGUGGCAAGUUAGUCGAGUUAACUGGGUAUUUUCCCCCCAAAUUUUUUAUGACUUGUUUUUAUUUUUUAAUUUUAUCAUUCUGCAUUAAAUUAUUUUCCUUAAACUUUUUUUUUUUUUUUUGCUUCUCUUUCUAUUUCUUUAUUUCAAGAGUGGGUUGAUCAAGCUAACUAGGGUCAACUUGCAUUUUUGUUCACAACAUUUUUUAAUUUAACUUAUGUCUUUUUUGGCUUACCCUUUAAUUUAUAGAGGUCUAAUUUUUUUAACAUGGUUGUCUCGGAUUAUCAUCGCUUGAAUAUCUUUUUUUAAUGUUGAAAAAAAUUUGGUCCGACCCUCGAUGUGGCUCAAGCCACCUUCUUUCCAAUGAACAACACUUAAAUAAUAGCAUUCAAGGAGAGGAACAAUGAUUUCCCUAUAUUAGUUUUUGUUGAUAGACUAGAUCUUUGACCUGCUCUACACUCGGGUCAGAUCAAUUUUUUUUAAAUUACAAAAGAAACAUCCAGACAUUGCUUAUAUUUUUCAAGUAAAUGAUUUUUAAAACCGCGUGGAUGUUGAGCCGAUAUGACCUGAUCGACCUGAUGGAUAUAACCCCAAACAACCUGUAAAAAUGUUGUUUGAUUACCAAAAAUUCAAGACAAUAUUUUUUUUUAAUAAUAUUAGAAUGAAAACAUAUUGAAUCGAUUCGGGCUAACACAGGUUAAUUUAUCAAAUUGACGACCUAGAUUAUAAGACUAUGAUAACCCCACAAAAAGUAAAUCAAAAUAAAUUACGAAGCUCAAUUCUCAAUCAACUCAUUGUUGAAGAAUGUAAAUGAAAAACAUUAAUUAAAAAAUAACAAAAAAUUAUCUAGGUUAACUUGUCAAACCUGUGAUCCGGGUUAUCAUAUCAAAGAUAACCUCAUGAAAAGUAGACAAAAAAAAUUACUUGAUUUAACCCGGAUUAAUAUGUCGAACCUGCGACCAAGGUCAUGAUAUUGUGAUAACCCCAUUAAAAAAAUCAAAAUAAAUUGUGAAGCCUAAUUUUUAAUAAACUCAUUGUUAAAGGUUGAAAAUAAAAAAAAAAUCAAUUUAAAAAUAGAACACAGUGAAACAACUUGAGUCUACCCGGGUUAACCCCCAAAACACGUGAUCCGAGCAUAAGACUGGAUAACCUCGUAGAAAGCAAAACAAAAUAAAUCACGAAGCCUAAAUCACAAUCAAACCAAUGUCGAAUCAUGAAAAUAUAAAAAAUGCCAAUGAAAAAGUUAAAAAAAAAAAAAAAAAAACUCAAGUCAACAGGGUUAACUCACCAAACCCACGACUCAAGUCACAAAGCUGAGAGAACCUCAUAAAAAAUAAAUCAAAAUAAAUCAUGGAGCCUAAUUCCCAGUCAACUUGAUGUUGAAUGACUAAAUUGAGAAAAAAAAACGAUCAAUUAAAAAGAGAGAAACCACAAUAAAUCUGCAACACGGGUUAUAAAUCCAAGCUAACCACAAUAAAUUAUGAAUCCUAAUAUCCAAUAAACUAAAUAUUGAAGUAUGAAAUUAGAAAAAAAAUCAGGAUAAUCUCAUAGAAAGUAAAUAAAAAAAGACCUAAGUCAACCUUAAUUAAUCUGUCAAACUCGCGAUCAAGAUCAUGAGACUGUGAUAACCUUGUUAAAAGCAAAAAUAAAUAAAUUAUGAAGCCUAGUUUUCAAUAAGCUCAUUGUUAAAGGUUGAAAAUGAAGAAAAUUAAAUUAAAAAAUGGGAUACAACAAAACAAUAUGUGUUUAUCCGUGUUAACCCACAAAACACGUGACCUAAGCAUAAAACCAAGAUAAACCCAUAGAAAACAAACCAAAAUAGUUCACGGGGCCUAAUUCGUAAUCAACCAAAUAGUGAAGGAUGAAAUAGAAAAAAUUCCAAUAAAAAAAAAUGUCAAUAAAAACUCAAGUUAAGUAGGUUGACCCGCCAAACCCGCGACUCGAGUAAUAAGACUGAGAUAACAUUAUAUAAAGCAAACUAAAAUAAAUCAUGAAACCUAAUUCCCAAUCAACCUAAUGUUGAAUGAUGAAAUUGAAAAAAAAUUAUCAAUUAAAAAAGAUAUAUAAAACUGGAGUCAACCCGCCAAACACGUGACACGGGUUACAAGAUUGAGCUAAAUAAAGCAAACCACAAUAAAUUAUAAAACCUAAUCUCCAAUAAACUAAAUAUUGAAGUAUAAAAUUAGAAAAAAUAUAUAUAUAUAGAAAAAUAAAGACAAAAAAAUGUUGUUGAAAUGAAUAGUAUUUUACAAGAUAGUGCACUAUAAAAGCACCACCUCUUUUAGUUUAUACUAGAUAUUUGACCCGUGUUUCACCAUUGGUUAGAAUUAUUAUUUUUUGACAAAAAAAUUUAUAUAUAGACUAUUUCAAUAAUUUUUUGUAUUUUAGAAAAUUCCAAGUGAAAAAAACAAUAUACAUACAUAUAAUCAAAACAAUUGAGAACUGUAUGUCUUAAUAAGUGAAAAACAAAAACUGAAAACUCGAGAGACAAGUAUAGAUUAAGAUAUUUAAUUUUGUAAGAUGUGACAUUUACACGGUUGUGUUUUCUAAAUUUAUUGAUUAAAAUAAUUGUUUUAUUCAAUCAAACAAUAAUAAAAAUAGACACACAAAUUAAGUUAAUUGAAUAAAAUAAAAUGUAAAAAAUAAUAUGCAAGGUUGCACAUAUUAGAAAUAUUAUUUGAAAAUAAAUUUCUUUUUAUUUUCAAAAUUAAAUUUCAUGUAUAUAAAAGAUUAAAAAAUAUAGAUUAAUAAGAAAUACCUCCUAAAAAAUUAAAUGCAUAAUUAAAAUAUAAUUUUCAUUUCAAAUAAGCUUUCUAAAAGCAUAAAAGAGAGAAAGAAUAUUAAUCUAAAUAAAAAUAAAAAUAAAAAUAAAAAUAAGAUUAAUUUUUAAAAAAUAGAAACAAAAAACAAAAGAAAAUCUUUUUCCCUAAAGAGAAAAAAAGUUAAUAAUGUUGUCCAUAGUAAAACUUGAGGGGUGAACCUAGACCAUGAGCUCAACCAGGUUUAAUAUUUUUUUCCCUUGAAAUUUAAACAUAAAAAAAAUAAACAAUGUCAUCCACGGUAAAACAUAAAGGGAUGAAUAAUGCAGUUGCACGAUGUUCACCUCACAUAUUUUCCCUUUAAAUUUAUAGCAAAACCUUAAAAUAAAAUAACAAACUAGUGUCGUCCAAAAUAAAACAUGAGGGGGUGAGCAGUGUAUCUACAUAGUGUUCACCCCAUAUGCAUUGUCAAAAUCUAAUUUUUUACCCUUUUAUUUUAAUUUUUUUUUUAUUACCCAAAAAAAUGAUAGCAAAAAAAAAAAGAAAAAGAAAAAAUGAUGAUGGAAGAAAUAAAAUGAUGAAAUAAUUGAAGAAGGAAUCAAAAUUUGGGUUAAGGGCAAAAUGAUUUGAAGUUUUUGUGUUCACUUAAACUUUGGAUUGGUUUUAUUAAUCAAAUCAAGAGCUUAAUUAGAGAAUUGAUAAGUUUUGAGACUUAAUUGAGCUUGGAAUUAAUUUAAAUAAUGAAAUCAGGGACUUAAUUGAAGAAAUACCAAAGUCUGGGGUUAAUUGAGGGCACAAUUGCAAUAUAUUAAAGUCCAAGGUCUAAAUUGUAAAAGGCGCCGAAAUGCAGGGAUCCAGUUACAAUUUAACUAGGAGCUUAAUUACAAAACUGUAAAAAAUUCAAGGGCCAAAAUGCAAAUAGCCAUUAAACACUAAAAAACAGCUUUGUUUCCCACUACUGUUCAUCUUCCUCCCGACUAAAACGGACGCCCACCGCUGCUCCCACCAUUACACCUGCAAUUAACACACUUUAUGGCUGGAAGAAACGGCAUUGUUCUCUGGUUAUAAAAGACAACAAGGCUAACAAGGUGUCUGGGUGAUCUGGAAGCCAACAAGCCCUUACAAGAAGUGCACGGGGCAAUUUGUGCUACCCACGCAAAUAGACACAUGAUGGCUAGGCAAAUGCAUAAUUUUUAACACGCAAAUAGAGCAGGUUAUUUUUAGCUGACCAAGGAGAAAGAUUGCAUAAUUUUGUCCGAAGGUGCCACAAAUGUCAAGUGUAUAGUGACAAAGUCAAUACGCCUCCCGCACCCUUAUUCAACAUAGUGUCUCCUUGGCCCUUUGCAAUGUGGGGAAUAGAUGUGAUUGAGCCAGCCUAUUAAUUCAAAAGCCAGUAAUGUGUAUCGUGUUAUCCUUAUAGCGAUUGAUUACUUUACCAAAUAGGUAAAGGUCUUCUCAUAUGCCCAUGUGACUUAGAAAGUGGUCAAACGGUUCAUAGACAAAGAUAUAAUCUGUAGAUAUGGUGUACCCGAGAGAGUAGUGACUGAUAAUGCUCAAAACUUCAAUGGAAAGAUAAUAGCAGAGCUUAUGCUUGCUUAUUCAUGUGCACAUCAAUCGAGCUACUUUUAUUGUUUAUACAUGUAUUUUGACUUUUAGAAACUCAUGAGGAACUUCAAACAUUCCAUUUUGACUUCAUUCCUGCAAAGAAAGCUGAUAGUCUUCAGCAUACACUCAUCAUACUUAAUCCAUUGCAUAAUCAUAACUACUAAUUCUUCUAUAGGCAAGAAAUUUUCUGGAACUCAGACUACCCUGUAACAACAACCACAAAAACAUCUCAAUUUUUUAGGAGGAAAUAUACUUGCUAGAGUUAAGUAUCAAAAUUCUCAUAUCCUGGAUGCUGAAUAUCAUCAAUGAGAGCACAAGCUGAUUUAACAGUAAAAAUCUCAUUCUUCUCUCACUGCCACACCCUUAUCUCAGCUGAAUAAAAAAUAGAUAAAUUCCACUCUGCUUUAGGUUUUGAUGACUCCAAACGCAGACACUCCCUAUUCUCAGCUUCAUGCAUGACCCCACAUUUAGCAAUACAUGUCAAUGAACGCGUUUGCUAUGAUCACACUGAUUCGUUGUGUUUUGUAACGAUGAUGUAGUUUCAAUGGAUUCCCUGACCAAAUUCCAAGCAAUCCAAUUGCCACAAGCAGAGAGCACACGAACUAAUGUUCUCCAAUGGAACAAACGCAGCCUCCAGCAUGUUACAAACCAUUCUAAAGCUUCCUUUGGGUGGUUGCCCAGCAAUCCCAUGGCACUCCAGGAAACCACAUUCCUCUCCGGAAUCUCAUUAAACGACAUCCUUGCCAGCUCUAGCUCACCGCGUUUAGCAAACCCAUCAACCAUACUCGUCCAAGAAAGCACAUCUCUAACUCCCAUACUCGUCCAAGCAGCCACAUUUCACAUUCAUGGUGAUUUGCAUUUCUAGUUUUACAUAUUCGUGAAAACUCUUCCCUAUUCUCAAACCCCCCUUCUGCGAGCAAGCUGAACGAGCGGCUCUAAUUUAAUUCUUUAAAUUCUUUGCCGCUUCCUCUCAACGCUGUCGUUUAUGCUGUAUUUGAAUAAUUUCCCUCUUCUGUUGUCUUAAUCCCUAGCUUUGUUAAUUCCAUUCGUGACACAGUGUGAGAGGGGGCAAAAGGCAAAAGGCAAAGGCAAGACAAAGCUUGGGGGUAGAUUAGCCAGACUAUAAAGGAGAAGGACUUAUUUGUACUUGUUCCAAGAUUGUGAGUCAAAAUAAUACCGCUUCUUUUCCUUCAAACGCAAUCUCGUCCUACGUUCCAGGGAAUCUUUUUACCUAAUCUCUUAAUAUAUAUUUGAAUGGCAUCUUGGCUUAAGCUCCUUCAAUUAUUGCUUUCGAAUAUUCUCAUGGUAUUGCUCUUUGUUUUUGAGGAUCCAAUUAAUAAGCAAAUCAUGGAGACUUGGCUGUUGACCCUCAACACUCUCGUCUGCAUUGACUCCUUCAAUAUCUUGGAUGUGAACCAGGCUUGGAAUAUUGGGUGUUCUUGUUUUUGAUACAUGUAAAGAGGUAAGCUAAGCAUCUCUUUCAAGAUCUCUCUAGCUGCUGCAGGGAUGCCAAAUCGCUUUCUUUCUUCAAGUUCCUUAGCAGGAGUAUUGUAUAGCAACCAACUUUCUUUGGGUUUUGCUCCAGGUUUGGGCCAAUUUUGAUGCCUUCUGUGAAUCCCUCCAUCUGGGCUUAUCAAAAGAGGAGGAAAGAAGUAAGUUUCUCUUCUCAGUUUCAGUGUUUCAGUACGCCAUAACACCAUCUCCAGCUUCUUUCAGAAGAGCAGUUCGAAGCAUUCGCAGAGCAGAAAAUAGUUUGGCGGACAGGUUCUGUCAUGUUAAAAGUUCAAUAGAUGGUCAGGAAUCUCAUCAAUCAUGAUGAAUGAAGAGAACAAAAACCCAAGACAUAAGCAUACCAAGUCCACUUCAGAUUGAGGUUGGGCAGGACUACAAGCUUGUGGAGGACUUAACUUCCCAGACAUUAGAGAGCCUUUUGCUGGAGUAGCCUCGGAUUUGCCCUGUUUUGAAGCUUUUACAGAGGAAGGGAAUCUACAAGGAGCAUGAGAUACCAGAAUGAGCAUCCUACCUGUUCAUUUCAGCUAUGAAAAACAGAAAGGUUAAAUGAUGAUAGUUUGUCCAGAGGAUCAUAAUAUGUGAGGCUAAGCAAAGCACAAGGCUAAGCUUGCUGGCUUCAUCCAACUCUUGGUCUCCAUAAUUUAGUCAAAGCCACCCUCGCUAAUGCUAUAUGUAAAUUGUAAAUUUUAUAACCAGUCGCUCCAAAGUUAAACAUCUGGACCAACCAACACAAAACUUACUCGGGCCAGAUUUCUGACAGCUUCAUCUGAAUUUCUUUGCAAAAACAUGUGUUUUGCAUAGGUUUUGCCCAAUGAAAGGGUAUGGUUUAGACCGAACAAUCCAACCCAAAUGAACUAAGACCUUGUCGGUUCUAUUUUCUCUUAUGCUCAAUAUCCACAUGCUUCUUCAGAGAAUAAUCAAAAGAAGCAUACAUUUGGCACUUUUCUUAUGCUCAAUAUCCACAUGCAUUUGGCAAUAGAGCACUGGCAUAAGUCUAAUGAAACAUGUACUCAAAAGAAGCAUGCUGAAAGGCUGCACCUUAAAACAAUCCUUUGCCCGCCAGAGCAUAGUUUGUGUGCCUUGGAUUCAUUCACCUGAAAGAAAUUAAAAUGAUCAUUUAACAUGAGAAAUUAAACAAUGAGAAUGGUAGAGUCGCUCUCUCUAUCACACUGAGUUAAGCUCUAUAUAGAAUUUGAAAAACCACAAGCACCUUUAACACUGACGAUACAGAUCUGUAAAUGUCACUUUUCUUAACUAUUUUGCAUUGUAUGAACCCAUUCUGACAAUAUAUCAAACCAGAAAGCAUGAAACCAACUCUUAAGAUGCCCUAAGCUUCAAAUUUAUAAUUAGAAGGCAAUAUCAAUUGAUAUUUUUUGCUAGAAUACUGGUAAUGUAGAUGACACUCACUUAGCAACUUUCUCUGGCGUGACAUAUAACAACUUGUAUUUACAAUAAUCAGAACAAAGUUCCCUUAGGAUCUCCUGUUGUUCAGUCCACUCCAUGUUGGCACUCAGGUAAGCAGCAGGAAUUUUUGCCUAUAGCACAAACCAAUAGGUAAGAAAAAUGCAUGCCACUAAAUGAGCAGUUUGCAGUAACCAAAGGAAAAUAAAUGCUUGACUAAAUUAGUAAGAUAGCUAGCAUACCUGUAAAAGGUGCAUUAUUUGAUCUUGGAUCAGCGACACGAGUGGAGAAAUUACUAAGGUUAUUCCAGGACAAACUAGAGCAGGAAGCUGCGUGAAUCAUUAAAAAAAAAAAAAAAAGAGUGGGUCCAUUGUUAAAACUGUGAACCAAGAAAAAGUUUAAUUUCCCAGUAUCACCAAAAAUUCAAAGAUAAAGAAAAUUUAGCCAAGCUGGUAUUCUAGAAUCAAUUCAAAUGCAAAAUAUUGUCAGAGAUAUGACUCUGGAAGUUAAACAGAUUGUCACAAAUGGAAACAGCAAAAUAAUGGAAAUUAAAUGAAACUAAAGCUGUGUCUAACAGAAUUAGACUUUAUUAGAGCUGAAUGAUCACCUGAUAUGUCAGACUUUUUCCACCUCCUGUUGGCAUUAAAACAAAGACAUCAUACCCACUCAUUGUAGCAUUGAUUACCUCUCUUUGAUUGGGGCGAAACGAGUGAUUUCCAAACACUUUUUUGUUAUUGGCCUAGCAGCAAACCAAGCAAACAGUAAUAUAGUAUGUAAUGAAACUAGUGAUUGAUAAAAUUCUAAGAAAUGGGUAAAAAUCUAGAGCAAAAGAGCACCUCCAGCUUUUUUGUCCAUGGGAAAUUUGUGCUGCUCCACUUUGAGCCUUCGAUAUAAUUAACUUCAACAAAGCUUGGAAUGUAAGGUUCUCUCUCUAAAGGAACAGAAGAAACAUCAAAGCUAUCAAUGGAAGAGAAUGAAACUGAGGGUGCAUUCCACUUUUCAUAUCCAUUCAGGUCAUUUCGUAGAUGAACCUGGGCAUCAAAUCUCAUGGGAUCUAUUUUGCAUGCAGCAGAUUGAGGUGUUUCAUACUGCAAAUUUCGAACCAAUGUGGAUGCAGAACAAUGUGACUUCUGUCUUUCCUUAUCACGAAGAUAUUUUUCAAGUUGCUGAAUUUGCUUAUUGAGCUGUGACCUAUUUAUGAAAACAGAAAUAGACAUGCAUAAGAGAGCAAAUCUAACAAUCAUUCGAGCUUAUCUCCCAAGAAAAGGAGCUGAGAGUGUUUUACAAAAUGCAAAAAGACAAUGGAGCAUAUUUUUCAUGUCUAUCAUACUAUAUUUCCUUCCAUGUAAUCCCAGAAUUCCUCUGCCAUACUCUAUUUCUAUUCUUCCUGUGAACUUUGGUUCACCUAUUGUGGCUCCAUUGAACCAAAAAAACCCAUGCAUCAAAAGGUAGUAUGAUAUCAUGGGAGAAGAAAAAGGAGAAGAAGCACAACCUAUCUUGGCGAAGCUUAUCUAUUUGCGCUUGACUCAGUUCAGCAGCAUUGUCAAGCAGAUCAUUUGAUACUGCAAUCAGCAUAUCCUUCAUUUCUUGUAAAUGUUUGGCAGCUUCUGGGCAAAGUCCUAGCUGUAAUGAUUUAAGAAUCAGGCAGAUCAAGAUGAGAAUAGAAUAGAACAGUGCAAAUAUAGUGCCCAAACCUUGAAUCCAUGACUGCAGUUUGAACACAACUCAGGUGGCACAGAAAUCUCCUCUGGCCUUGUAAAACUAUUUUGAUCUGCAGUUGGAGUUAUGAGCGGAAACUUAGAAAUUGCUGGUUGCGGUGUGCAAGUAGCUUGGUAGUGCUCCAUAACAAUUUGGUCCACAUCUAUACUCUGCCACCAAGCUAACAUGUGCAAGGAGCAUGAGAUACCAGAAUGAGCAUCCUACCUGUUCAUUUCAGCUAUGAAAAACAUCGAUGUUUGUUUCAUAGCAUCAUCACCAAUGUAUUAGCUCCCAUGAUUUAAAGAACUAUAUAUAUGUUAAAUCUAUUUCUUUUUUAUUCAUUUCGAUUUAUUUAUCCAUCAAAUCAAUGGAAAUCUUCAUUUUCAGACACUUGAAAAGCGCACAAAAUAGAAAAAAUUAAAAUUAAAAACCAACAAAAUUGAAAAACCUGGAAAUGUAAAAACUUGAAGAAAUAAAAAAAAAAAUUAUUGGAAAAGUAAGGUCAUUACAUAUAUACUAUAUAACUCAUACUAUUAGAGACAGAAUCUGAUCACAUAUAAUUAAUUAAAUCCAUUAUUGCUGAGAAUUACAUGCACGUAAUACAUAUUGAAGAAACUAAGAACAGCAACAUAUUUAUUUAAUUAGACUGAUGCUAAGAACAUCGAUUAUCACUACAAACAGUACUCAAACAUAAACAGAUUGACGCUCCAUGCAAAUAAUAGCUAGUUAGCUCUUGUCACUUCAACCCAAACCUCCUCACCAAACAGCAUGAAACUACUCCUCCUCUUAGCUUCAACCCUGAACUGUGACCCCAGGUUCUGGUCAUCCUCACGAUGAAGAACAACCAUGUCACCAACUCUCAGUCCAUAAUCAGCAACAAAUUGAAGCCAGCCCAUAGAAAGCACUGGAUUUUCACCAUUUCUCUUCAGGCAACGAAUGACUCGAAGCUCACCAUAGCAAUCUCUAACAUUCAAAUCAACAUAAUUAUUUCCAGCAAAAUCUAAAUGCUCUAAGCAAUGAGUUGGGAACGAGAACCGCACACGAACAUCAGUAUCAGUUAACACUUUGCUGAAGAUCUGCAUUUUUUUCUCAAGGGUCGUAAAAAGAGAGAGAAAUGGUUAUGUUUAAGCUAUCUACCGGAUUGAUACACUUGCUCAAGAUAUUGUUAAUUAGUGGAGACAAAGUGGAGACAAACAAUGUCCCACCAUAUUGCAAGUGGAAAUAUCUAACAUGGUGGAGAUGGUGGGCAUAAAUCAUGGUAUAUAUGUAUGCUCAGUAAAGAGUUCGACUGAUUUGAAAUGCUCGGUGUCUGUGUUGUGUGCAUGUAGCCCAAAGAAUAAAUAGUGUUUGUGUCAUCGACCGAGAGCGUCAGCACUGUGGGCGUGCAAUGACGUUUCUACUCGGAGGAGGCUAUGUGAUUUCUUUUUGACAGGCAGCGGUUUAUUUUCUUUAUUCUUUAUUAUUUUUUCCCAAAGGGUUCCUAUUAAGAUAGAAAGGACACAUGGUUCAGACAAAAAAAAAAAACAUAUUUAUCUUGUAAUCAUAUUUAUUUUUAUAUUUUAUAUUUAUCUCUCUAACCCGAAACAUGUUUGUUCUUUUUAUAUUUAUAUUUGUACUUUCUAUUUUAAAACAAUAAUCAGUGCAUUAAUUAGACAGACAAUUACUAUCCAAUCACAAUUAGUUUCACAAUUUACACGGCUGAAUCUUGAAACACCAGCCCAGUUAUUGGCCAUCUUAAGCUUCAAACGCAACUGCUGAAACCUUCUAGCUCACUCUUGACUUCCAUCUGGAAGUGCUUCGCCGUUAAUGCCAUGAUAUCCUCUUGUAUAUUUUACAUUGCUAUUUUUUUUUUUAAUAGUGGUCUUCAUUGAAAAUUAUUAUUAUUUUUUAAUUUAUCAUUUGACAUUUGAUUAUUAAACCCUUAACUUUAUUAGUUUACAUUUUUUUUAUUGAGUUAUCUCGAUCUCAUAUUUCGACUAAGAGGUUAGUCAAGUUAACCAUGAUUGCCUCAUUUUUUUUCCUUUGAUUUUUUUAUAAAAUUGAAUUUUUUAAAACAAUUUCAUACUUUGGUGUUAAAUUAUUGGUCCUUGAGCUAAGUGAUUUUUUCAAUUUUUCAAUUUUUUUUUAAUUUUGGGUUAUUCCGAGUACAGGUUAAUCAAGUUAACCCGGGUUAGCUUGCAUUUUCUUACUCGAUGUCUUUUUAUUUGACUUUAGUCUUUUUGCUAGGUCCUUUUUUUGGAAGUUUAAUUUUUUUAAUCCUGAUCUCAUGUCGCGAGUGGUGAGUCAAUCGAGAUAACCCGAGUUGACUUGGUGUUCCCUAAUUUUUUUAUGACUUUGUUUUUAUUUUUUAAUUUAUCAUUUUGCAUUAACUUAUUUGCCCUAGGCUUUGUUAUUUUUUUGCUUCUCCUUCUAUUUCAUUAUUUCAAGAGUGGGUAGUUGAUCAAGUUCACUAGAGUCAACUUGCAUUUUUGUUCACAAUGUUUUUUUAUUUAACUUAGACAUUUUUUGCCUAGCCUUUUUUUGGAGAUCUAUUUUUUUUCCCAUCAAUAUCUCAUGGCGUGUAUGAUGGGUUAGUUAAGUUAACCUAGGUUGACUGAGAUUUUUUUCCCUUGAAUUUUUCUUAUGAUUUUUUUUUCAAUUUCAUCAUUUUACAUUAAAUUAUUUUCCCUUGAGCUUUUUUAUUUUUUCACUUUUCUUACUAUUUGGUUAUUCCGAUGGUGGGUUGGUAAGUUAACAAGGAUUGACUCUACUUUUUUUUUUUUGACAUUUUUUUCAUCAAACUUUGGUUUUUUUACUAGGUCAUCCUUUUGAAUUUUUUUUUUAUCCUAAAAUCAUAUCAUGGGUUGUUGGUUUGUCAAGUUUUCCGAGCUGACUCGGGUUUUCUUCUUUGGCGUUGUAUUUUUUGAAGCUUUUUUUUUCAUCUUUAACAUUAGGUUAUUAGGCCUUGAAGUUUCUAAAUUUCAUUUUUUUUCUUUUUAUUGGUUCUUUCGGUCUUAUAUCUUAGGCUGCGUUUUAGUUAAUUUAACCAGAUUCUCUCAUAUUAUCAUCGUUUGAAUAUCCUUUUUUUACUGUUGGAAAAAGUUUGGUCCGACCCUCGGUGUGGCACAGGCCACCUUCUUUCCAAUGAACAACACUUAAAUAGUAGCAUUCAAGGAGAGGAACAAUGAUUUCCCUCCAUUAAUUUUUGUUGAUAGACUAGAUCGUUGACCUGCUUUACGCCUCAGGUUAGAUCAAUUUUUUUUUAGCAUACAAAAGAAACAUCCAGACAUUGCUAAUAUUUUUCAAGUAAAUAUUUUUAAAACAGCGUGGAGGUUGAGCCGAGUAACCUGAUCGACCUGAUGGAUUUAAGUAACCCCAUACAACCUGUAAAAACGUUGUUUGAUUAACAAAAAUUCAUGACAAACAUCUUUUUUUUAAAAAAUAAUAUUAGAAUGACAACAUAUUGAAUCGAUUCAGGCUAACAUGGAUUAAUCUGUCAAAUCGACGACCUAGAUUAUAAGCCCACGAUAACCCUAUAAAAAAUAAUUCAAAACAAAUUACAAAACUCAAUUCCCAAUCAACUCAUUGUUGAAGAAUGUAAAUGAAAAUAAUUAAUUAAACAAUAACAAAAACAUAUCUAGGUUAACCUCCCAAUCCUGUGAUCUGGGUCAUGAUAUCAAGAUAACCUCAUGAAAAGUAGACAAAAAAAUUACUUGUUUAACCCAGAUUAAUAUGUCGAACCUGCGACCAAGGUCAUGAUAUUGUGAUAACCCCAUUAAAAGAAAAUCAAAAUAAAUUAUAAAGCCUAAUUUUUAAUGAACUAUUGUUAAAGGUUGAAAAUGAAAAAAAAUCAAUUUUGAAAAUAGAACACAGUGAAAAAACUUGAGUCUACCCGGGUUAACCCGCAAAACACGUGACCCGAGCAUAAGACUAUAUAACCUCAUAGAAAACAAAAUAAAAUAAAUCAGGAAGUCUAAUUCACAAUCAAACCAAUGCCGAAUCAUGAAAUAUAAAAAAUGCCAAUGAAAAAGUAAAAAAAAUAAUAAUCAAGUCAACAGAGUUAACUCACCAAACCCACGACUCGAGUCAUAAGGCUGAGAGAACCUCAUAAAAAAUAAAUCAAAAUAAAUCAUGAAACCUAAUUCUCAGUCAACUUGAUGUUGAAUAAUUAAAUUGAAAAACAAUGGUCAAUUAAAAAGAGUGAAAACAAACUCGAGUUAACCCGCCAAACCUUAAACACGGGUUAUAAGUCCAAGCUAACCAUAAUAAAUCAUGAAUCCUAAUCUCCAAUAAACUAAAUAUUAAAGUAUGAAAUUAGAAAAAAAAAAUUCAAGAUAAUCUCAUAGAAAGUAAAUAAAAAAAAAACCUAAGUCAACCUGAAUUAAUCUGUCAAACUCGCGACCAAGGUCAUGAGACUGUGAUAACCCUGUUAAAAACAAAUAAUUUUUUUUUUAUGAAGCUUAAUUUUUAAUAAGCUCAUUGUUAAAGGUUGAAAAUGAAGAAAAUUAAAUUUAAAAAUAGGAUACAACAAAACAAUAUGAGUUUAUCCGGGUUAACCCACAAAACACGUGACCUGAGUAUAUGACCGAGAUAACCCCAUAGAAAACAAACCAAAAUAAUUCAUGAGACCUAAUUCAUAAUCAACUAAAUGCUGAAGGAUGAAAUAGAAAAAAAAUCAAAUAAAAAAAGUCAAUAAAAACUCGAGUUAAUUAGGUCAACCCGUCAAACCCGAGACUCAAGUAAUGAUAAUCUUAUAUAAAGCAAACUAAAAUAAAUCAUGAAACCUAAUUCCCAAUCAACCUAAUGUUGUAUGACGAAAUUGAAAAAAAAAUGUCAAUAAAAAAGGAUAAAUAAAACUAGAGUCAACCUGCCAAACCCGUGACUCGAGUUACAAGAUCGAAUUAACCAUGUAUAUAGCAAACCACAAUAAAUUAUAAAACCUAAUCUCCAAUAAACUAAAUAUUGAAGUAUAAAAUUCAAUAUAUAUAUAUAUAUAUAUAGAAAAAAAAAGGCAAAAAAAUGCUAUUGAAAUGAAUAGUAUUUUACAAGGUAGUGCACAAUAAAAGCACCAUCUCUUUUAGUUUAUAAUAGAUAUUUGACCCGCAUUUCACCGCUGGUUAGAAUUAUUUUUUUAACAAAAAAAUUUAUAUAUAGACUAUUUCAAUACUUUUUUGUAUUUAAAAAAAUUUCAAGUGAAAAUAAUAUAUAUAUAUAUAUAUACAUACACAUAAUCAAAACAAUUAAGAACUGUAUGUCUUAAUAAGUGAAAGAACAAAAACCAUAAAUGAUGACUAAAAAUUAAAACUGAAAAAAUUGAGAGACAAGUAUAAAUUAAGAUAUUAAAUUUUACAAGAUGUGACAUUUAAGCAGUUGUGCUUGCUAAAUUUGUUAAUUAAAAUAAUUAUUUUAUUCAAUCAAACGAUAAUAAAAUAGACACACACAUUAAAUUAUUUGAAUAAAAUAAAAGGUAAAAAAUAAUAUGCAAGGUUGCACAUAUUAGAAAUAUUAUUUGAAAAUAAAUUUCUUUUUAUUUUCAAAAUUAAAGUUCAUGUAUAUAAAAGAUUUAAAAAAUAUAGAUUAGUAAGAAAUAACUCCUAAAAAAUUAAAUGCAUAUUAAAUUAUAAUUGUUAUUUCAAAUAAGCUUUCAAAAAUGCAUAAAAGAGAGAAAGAAUAUUUAUUUAAAUAAAAAUAAAACUAAAAAUAAGAUUAAUUUAAAAAAAUAGAAACAAAAAGCAAAAGAAAAUAUUUUUUCCUAAACAAAAAAAAGUGAAAAAUGUCGUCUAUAGUAAAACUUGAGGGGGUGAACCCGGACCAUGAACUCAACUAGGUUUAAUAUUUUUUUCCCCUUAAAUUUAUUGCAAACAUAAAAAAAGUUAAUAAUGUCGUUCACAGUAAAACAUAAAGAGGUGAACAAUGCGGCAACACGAUGUUCAUCUCACACAUUUUCCCCUUAAAUUUAUAGCAAAACCUUAAAAAAAAAAAAAAAAAUAGUGUCGUCCACAAUAAACACAUGAGGGGGUGAGCAAUAUAUCUACACAGUGUUUACCCCAUACGCUUUAGUUUAUUUAGGGUAAACCCAGACCAUGAAUUCAACAGGGUUUAACAUUCCCCCUCUUAAAUUUAUAGCAAACUUAAAAAAAAAAAAAAAAAAACAAUAUCAUCUACAGUAAAACAUGAGGAAUGGUUUAGCUAAUGAGCACCUCUAAGUAACAGAGCAAUGAAUAAAAAGGUGAUCAAUGGUCUCAAUUUCCAUAUCACAAAAAUAACAACAACCAUCAUCAUAACUAAUAAUUCUUCUGUAGGCAAGAAAUCCCUUAACACUCAAACUACCCUGCAACAACAACCACAGAAACAUCUUAAUUUUAGGAGGAAAUAUACUUUGCCAGAGUAAAGUGCCAAAAUUCUGGUUUGCCGGCAAACGCUCCUGAUGGAGCAAGCAGUAACCAGCAGUGCAGACAUGGAAAGCGUUCUGUUAGAGUUCAGCAAUAAACUGUCGGAAGUCCUGGACCGUGUUGAUGAUGCGGGUAUUGAAGAAAUAGUUGAAGUAGUUGGUGGGUUGUUGCAAGUUGAUAACAAGGUAGUUGAUGAGGAGAAGCUUAAGCCAAGAAAGAUAGUCAUGUCUAGGAUGUUAGCAAAGAGCUUGCAGGCUGGGGAUCCGAUUUUUGAAAAAGUUUCCCGUGCUGUCUAUUUGGCUCUAAGAGGAAUUGUGCUCGGGGGCAGUGGACCCCGGGGAAGAAAAUUAGUAGAAAUGGCACUCAAGCAGAUUGGAGCUGUCAUGCUGACUAAAAGAGUGGUGGCAGCUGCUGAAGUAUUAGUGGUGGCAGCCACCGUAUCCACUGGCAUUCACAGGCCAUGGUAUGUAAAUCUGACCGAUAACCUGUGAUAUAUUUGUGCGUGCCGUAAGAAGAGAAUAAAUAAAUACAUGCGCACUGUACAGAGAAAUGCGUGUAAAGCUUAUGAUUAAUUGCAGUCGUAGAUGCCUGUAGAUGGUUGUAAUUUGAGAAUUCUUUGAUUUAAUGGGAACAAGAAGCUGUAAAUAGUAUUUAAG